ACCCGCUGAACUUAAGCAUAUCAAUAAGCGGAGGAAAAGAAACCAACAGGGAUUGCCCUAGUAACGGCGAGUGAAGCGGCAACAGCUCAAAUUUGAAAUCUGGCCUUCGGGUCCGAGUUGUAAUUUGUAGAGGAUGCUUUUGGUGCGGUACCUUCCGAGUUCCUUGGAACAGGACGCCUUAGAGGGUGAGAGCCCCGUACGGUUGGAUACCAAGCCUCUGUAAAGCUCCUUCGACGAGUCGAGUAGUUUGGGAAUGCUGCUCUAAAUGGGAGGUAAAUUUCUUCUAAAGCUAAAUACCGGCCAGAGACCGAUAGCGCACAAGUAGAGUGAUCGAAAGAUGAAAAGUACUUUGAAAAGAGGGUUAAAUAGCACGUGAAAUUGUUGAAAGGGAAGCGUUUAUGACCAGACCUUUGCCUGGCGGAUCAUCCGGUGUUCUUCACCGGUGCACUUCGCCUGGCUUAGGCCAGCAUCGAUUUUCGUUAGGGGACAAAGACCGCGGGAACGUGGCUCCCUUCGGGGAGUGUUAUAGCCCGCGGUGUAAUACCCUUACGGGGAUCGAGGUUCGCGCUCUGCAAGGAUGCUGGCAUAAUGGUCAUCAACGACCCGUCUUGAAACACGG
Molecule: ribosomal RNA, 619 nt
Filed under: uncultured fungus
Lineage: Eukaryota; Fungi
Description: LSU rRNA
Rfam family: Eukaryotic large subunit ribosomal RNA
Source: RNAcentral